GACGAACGCUGGCGGCGCGCCUAACACAUGCAAGUCGAACGAGCGAGAGAGAGCUUGCUUUCUCGAGCGAGUGGCGAACGGGUGAGUAACGCGUGAGGAACCUGCCUCAAAGAGGGGGACAACAGUUGGAAACGACUGCUAAUACCGCAUAAGCCCACAGGUCGGCAUCGACCAGAGGGAAAAGGAGCAAUCCGCUUUGAGAUGGCCUCGCGUCCGAUUAGCUAGUUGGUGAGGUAACGGCCCACCAAGGCAACGAUCGGUAGCCGGACUGAGAGGUUGAACGGCCACAUUGGGACUGAGACACGGCCCAGACUCCUACGGGAGGCAGCAGUGGGGAAUAUUGCACAAUGGGGGAAACCCUGAUGCAGCGACGCCGCGUGGAGGAAGAAGGUCUUCGGAUUGUAAACUCCUGUUGUUGAGGAAGAUAAUGACGGUACUCAACAAGGAAGUGACGGCUAACUACGUGCCAGCAGCCGCGGUAAAACGUAGGUCACAAGCGUUGUCCGGAAUUACUGGGUGUAAAGGGAGCGCAGGCGGGAAGACAAGUUGGAAGUGAAAUCUAUGGGCUCAACCCAUAAACUGCUUUCAAAACUGUUUUUCUUGAGUAGUGCAGAGGUAGGCGGAAUUCCCGGUGUAGCGGUGGAAUGCGUAGAUAUCGGGAGGAACACCAGUGGCGAAGGCGGCCUACUGGGCACCAACUGACGCUGAGGCUCGAAAGUGUGGGUAGCAAACAGGAUUAGAUACCCUGGUAGUCCACACCGUAAACGAUGAUUACUAGGGGUUGGAGGAUUGACCCCUUCAGUGCCGCAGUUAACACAAUAAGUUAAUCCACCUGGGGAGUACGACCGCAAGGUUGAAACUCAAAGGAAUUGACGGGGGCCCGCACAAGCAGUGGAGUAUGUGGUUUAAUUCGACGCAACGCGAAGAACCUUACCAAGUCUUGACAUCCCUUGACGAACAUAGAAAUAUGUUUUCUCUUCGGAGCAAGGAGACAGGUGGUGCAUGGUUGUCGUCAGCUCGUGUCGUGAGAUGUUGGGUUAGGUCCCGCAACGAGCGCAACCCUUACUGUCAGUUACUACGCAAGAGGACUCUGGCAGGACUGCCGUUGACAAAACGGAGGAAGGUGGGGAUGACGUCAAAUCAUCAUGCCCUUUAUGACUUGGGCUACACACGUACUACAAUGGCGUUAAACAAAGAGAGGCAAGACCGCGAGGUGGAGCAAAACUCAGAAACAACGUCCCAGUUCGGACUGCAGGCUGCAACUCGCCUGCACGAAGUCGGAAUUGCUAGUAAUCGUGGAUCAGCAUGCCACGGUGAAUACGUUCCCGGGCCUUGUACU
RNAcentral lists this ribosomal RNA (1339 nucleotides) under uncultured bacterium. RNAcentral's name for it is "bacterial SSU rRNA". It matches the Rfam family "Bacterial small subunit ribosomal RNA", at positions 28 to 1387 of the family's 1533-position model. The record is from RNAcentral.